Molecule: long non-coding RNA, 2613 nt
Organism: Myotis myotis
Lineage: Eukaryota; Metazoa; Chordata; Mammalia; Chiroptera; Vespertilionidae
Exons: 3
Source: RefSeq, a predicted model, not a curated record
GCUGGCUUUACGCGCGGCGGCUGACGUGGCCGCGGCUGGCGCCCUCCGCGCGCUUAGGUGCCCCCUCGGAACUCCGAGGUUGAACGCCAGGGGAGCGGUUCUCAGGCUCCUCACCGCUCAGGCGACGACACUCGGGCUGGGACAGCAUUCAAUGAGAUUCAAAGCAAGCAUGAGAGGGAAUAUGGAGGGAGCCACAUGGCAAGGAAUUGCAGAUGGCCUCUGGAAGCUGAGAGCAGUCCGCCAGCCAACAGCCAGCUAAUGAACAGAGAGGUCAGUCCUACAAGUGCAAAGAUCUGAAUUCCUUCAGCAACUCGGAUGAGUGUGGAGGCAAAUUCUUCCCCAGUGUCUCCAGAAAGGAAUGCAGCUUGACCAGCACCUGGACUUCGGUGUGACAAAACCCUGAAUGGAGAACCCUAUCUUGCCGCACCUGGACUUAUAAAUUACAGGACUCUCCAAAGCUUGGCUUCCUGGGGCCUGGGAUCUACUCAGGUUCCAUUAUCAGCGCCCUGAAACUGUGGAGACACAAGAAGGACCACUUCCUUUGGGGAAUGUUCUGGAAGCCUCACAUACGCUGGAAGCCAGUUAACCCUCAGGACAAUGUCAGGGAAAUUGACUGAAGCUCCUUCCAGAGGUGACUUCCUGGUUCCCAAGCUGGCCUGGAAACCCUUACAAGAGCUGCCACUCCAAUGGCUCUCUUAGCUGACACCUGCCUAAUCUCUCAUUGAAUCCAAUUAUGGGAAAAAGACAAAAAGCGCCCGUUUGGCUCCCAGGGACCUGGGAAUUAGAACAUCUGUGACCGCCUUACAAUCCCUUGUCCACACGCCCAGACAGUUUGGGCACUUUUCACCUCCACAUUAGUGCCAACCACUUCUUACUCUUUUCCUGGGGAGUGAUGAGCGAGCAGGCUGUGCAAACAGGACUUAGCUGGCUGAGAUUGCCAUCCUUAGAAAAGUCUGCUGGUGAGUAGGCCCUUGGCUGGUGUCUGCGAACUUCAACUUCAGGAGUGCUCCCACCAUUCCCAAAAUUUAUAAGCGUGACUGACUACGCCUAAACUUUUUGUACAAACAGUGGGGUUCAUGCUGACCAUGUUUCCUUCCGAGACCCUGGAAUUUUGAUGUGUGUUAGGCAGAAGAUGCCUACGUGACUGGCCCCCAAUAAAAAAAAAACCCGAGUCUCUAAUGCACACUGGGUCUUUAAUGAGCUUCCCUGGUCAACAAUAUUUUUUGUGUGUUGUCACUUGUUGCUGGAGGAAUUAAGUGCAUCCUGUGUGAUGCCACUGGGAGAGAACUUCUGGAAGCGUGGGUCUACUUUUCUCUGGACACCACCCCAUGUGCCUUUUCCCUUUGCCGAUUUCACUUUGUAUUCUCUGGCAGUAAUAAAUCAUAGCCAUGAGGACAGCUAUAUGCUGAAUCGCGCGAGUCCCUCAACAAGUCAUUGAAUCUGGGGCUGGUUUUGGGAACCUCCUACACAAGGCUAUCUCUGUCUAUAAAAAUAGCAUAAAGGCUUUUUUCUUCAUUCAGAUCUUCAUUGGGAGAGGUACAGAGGACGGGAUAAAUGGUUCCAUUUGGUCACUGAGAAAACAAGCACAGAGAAGAAAGGCAACUUAGUGAGGUUUCAUAGCUAAGAUGGCAGAGCUGGGACUAGAAUUCGGGUUUGUCUGUUUCCACAUCCUUCCGUUAGUGACAGUUCAGCAAUCUUAUUGCUAAAGGUUGGAAAUAACUCCCUUCUCUCUACCCCUUUUUCCUUCCCCUUAACUCUGGGGAACCUGUCUGGCAGGUCUGACAGCACCUAGUGGUGAAAUGGGAGGAAGGGUGGCAUCAAUUCCACUCACCCUCCCUCCUACCCAUGGAUAACCUCUCUACCCUUGGCCCUGUGUCCCACUCCAUCCAAGCUUGGCCACUGCCUUCCUUAGCCUUCCCUUCCUGUACCCACCACCUUCUGACAACUUUGUUUUAGAAUCUAUUGACCACUGUCUUUAUCCUCAUUUAUUUUCUGAGUGCCUCCUAUGUGUCAGAGACAAGGGUGGCACCUACAGGCCUUGGCCACUUGGAGCCGCUCCCUAACACAUUCAUUGAGGAAAUACUUACGGUCAGGGACUGCUGAAGACACAGCAUGAACAGCCCCACCGGGGCAGGGAGAGGCAAUUCACCUAACACACUUUCAUCCUGCUCCACCUCUUUUUCUCUCUCCUCAAGUAUGGAUCUUUAGGUCUGAAAUCUCAGAAGCAAGAUCUCUGGUCAUGCCUUCCCUCCCCCUUUCUGUGUUCCCAUCUGAUCUCUGCUAUGGUUAUAUCUGUAUCCAUCUCCCCACCCUUGAGCCCAUGUCACAGCCUGUUGUGCAAAUGCUUCACUCUGAGCAAGGGAGAUCGAGUUUUACUGAUUCUACAGUCUUGCUAAGCUAAUGGGAAAUGAUUCUCCCAGCCAAAAUGAUACUACAUAUUUUGGGCUAAAUGUCUGUAAGAUUCAGCAAAUUACCUUGGUGAACGGUGAAAGAUCAGAGAUUUGGGGUACAUAAAUUUAACAUAUUUUCUCUUUAAAAAAGUGUUUUUAAUGAUUUUUAGAGAGAGAGGAAGGAAGAGGGAUAGAGAGAUAGAAACAUGGGUAAGAGAGGACC